UGAGGAAUAUUGGACAAUGGGCGCAAGCCUGAUCCAGCAAUACCGCGUGAGUGAAGAAGGCCUUAGGGUUGUAAAGCUCUUUCAGCAGGGAAAAUAAUGAUGGUACCUGAAAAAGAAGUUCCGGCUAACUCCGUGCCAGCAGCCGCGGUAAUACGGAGGGAACUAGCGUUGUUCGGAUUUACUGGGCGUAAAGAGCGCGUAGGCGGUAUAUUAAGUUAGAAGUGAAAGCCUAAAGCUCAACUUUAGAACUGCUUCUAAAACUAAUAUGCUAGAGUAUGGGAGAGGAUAGUGGAAUUCCUAGUGUAGAGGUGAAAUUCUUAGAUAUUAGGAGGAACACCAGUGGCGAAAGCGACUAUCUGGAACAUUACUGACGCUGAGGUGCGAAAGCGUGGGGAGCAAACAGG
This 404-nucleotide ribosomal RNA is filed under the name uncultured bacterium. RNAcentral describes it as "bacterial SSU rRNA". It matches the Rfam family "Bacterial small subunit ribosomal RNA", at positions 355 to 776 of the family's 1533-position model. The record is from RNAcentral.